Molecule: ribosomal RNA, 253 nt
Filed under: uncultured bacterium
Lineage: Bacteria
Description: partial 16S ribosomal RNA
Rfam family: Bacterial small subunit ribosomal RNA
Source: RNAcentral
UCCGUAGGGUGCAAGCGUUAAUCGGAAUUACUGGGCGUAAAGCGUGCGCAGGCGGUUUUGUAAGUCUGAUGUGAAAUCCCCGGGCUCAACAUGGGAAUUGCACUGGAGACUGCAAGGCUAGAAUCUGGCAGAGGGGGGUAGAAUUCCACGUGUAGCAGUGAAAUGCGUAGAGAUGUGGAGGAACACCGAUGGCGAAGGCAGCCCCCUGGGUCAAGAUUGACGCUCAUGCACGAAAGCGUGGGGAGCAAACAGG